GACGAACGCUGGCGGCGUGCUUAACACAUGCAAGUCGUACGGUAAGGCCCUUUCGGGGGUACACGAGUGGCGAACGGGUGAGUAACACGUGAGUAACCUGCCCACAACUUUGGGAUAACGCUAGGAAACUGGUGCUAAUACUGGAUAUGUGCUCCUGCUGCAUGGUGGGGGUUGGAAAGCUCCGGCGGUUGGGGAUGGACUCGCGGCCUAUCAGCUUGGUGGUGGGGUAGUGGCCUACCAAGGCGGCGGCGGGUAGCCGGCCUGAGAGGGUGACCGGCCACAUUGGGAAUGAGGAACGGGCCAGACCCCUACGGGAGGCAGCAGUGGGGAAUAUUGCACAAUGGGCGCGAGCCUGAUGCAGCAACGCCGCGUGCGGGAAGACGGCCUUCGGGUUGUAAACCGCUUUCAGCAGGGACGAAGCUUUUUGUGACGGUACCUGCAGAAGAAGCACCGGCUAACUACGUG
Molecule: ribosomal RNA, 465 nt
Filed under: uncultured bacterium
Lineage: Bacteria
Description: partial 16S ribosomal RNA
Rfam family: Bacterial small subunit ribosomal RNA
Source: RNAcentral